This is a long non-coding RNA of Gasterosteus aculeatus (three-spined stickleback), 3919 nucleotides long. The record is from Ensembl. NCBI's taxonomy places the organism in Eukaryota, Metazoa, Chordata, Actinopteri, Perciformes, Gasterosteidae.
AUGGAUCUGACUCUCGCGCUGUCAGCUGUUAUCUUCACGCUUCUGGCUCUCGUCGUCGCGACGUCGCUGUUCAGCGGCUCUUCGCCCGCGGCCGAGUUCGCGAGUUAUUUCGGAGCUGCGGGAGACGGCGGUGCGACGGGGGGAUUAGAUCAACCGGGGCCGACGCGUAACGGGAAUCUGCCGGACGCCAAGAAGAAGAAGGAGGAGGAGAAGAAGGUGCAGCAGCAGCAGAAGGCGCAGGACGACUGGUGCGAGAUCAGCGGCAGCUCCCACGACCACUGGGAUGUGGUGAAAUCGGUGCUUUCAGAGGAGGCACAUCUCCGCCCUCACACUGGAGAGCUACCAACACCAGUUGAGUGCUCCUCCACAUCCAAUCCCUGCGUCCCCAGGCUCGGAUGUAGCCACAAAAGCUUAGAGGCCGACUCGUGGUCCGAUGCCUCGUCGGGGACGGGCCGUAGAUCCUUCAUCGGGCUCUCUGAUAAGGAGCUCCUAAAGUGUGCUUUCUCAUACCCUCAGAGUGAAGGAGCCACAGAGAGCCCGGAGAUCAACGAUGCAAACGAGUCUUUGAGGUACGCCCCUGGAAAGGCGCGAUCCCACCACCUGCAAAGGAUGAUGUCCAAAGAUGAGCUGGAGGAGGAGCGCAGGUCAGUGAUGAUCACCUUCCUGAUCAACCUUAUUAAAAUCGAGUCAUGCGGGAGAAAGAUUUUCUUUGCAACCUGGCAACCUAAGAGCUGUUCUUAUUAAUGAAAAAUAACAGAUCACGACUUAAGCAUUAUUCAACAAUAUAUUAAAUGAAGCAAUUAAAACGGUGCCUCAUGAAAAUGUGCCUAAAUAUGCAACAUUCAUUCAAUUCACUUUUAAUUAUCGGCUUUACAUCCCUCGCUGUCCUCCUAAAAUACUCCAAAAACAAAAAUAUUUCUGUUGUUGAAAAGAUUCUUUGCCAAAGUUUUACUAAAAAGUCAAAUGUCAAAAGUAGUUUACCUUUACCUUUCUUUCUUUCUUUCUGUCCCUGACCUGCACCCUCUGCCCCUCCCUCAAAUCCCCCCAACGUCAUCUUCACGUGCGUUUAUGGCUCUUUAUCGCACCCCCCCUGCAGGCCGAGUAAGGCCAGAUUUAGUCCCAGUCAGGCGUCGGCCGAGGGAUCGAUGACGCUAGAUUCAGAGAAACCACUCGAAGCGUUCGGUGGCUGCUGAGGGGAAAAAAUAUAGCAAACAGAUCAGCAGCCGCAGACACGUUUUAUUUUUUUUAAUGUAUCUGCAUGCCCUGCUCUUAUCAUUGCAGGACACACUCCAACACAGACUUUAACGGUCUGUGGGCCUGAAACAGGAGCAAUUAUGUGGUAAAGUAUGAGGUAUUCUAACCCGUCUAUCUCAGGCACUUUCUGGCCAUUGUACUCUAAAGCCAUGUAGCAGUCUCAAGUUCUUAGAGCUCAGGUGGCACAGCUUGCAUUGAUUGUGUCUCCAGUCGUCACCUCUGACAGGGGAGCGUGAGUUAAUCCUCUCAGGACUCUCCUCCGUUCUGCCACAAGGAGGACUCAGCGGAGAGCCAAACACUGAAAGGUCACGCUGACUCGCCAGUUGGCACACACAAACUAUUCAUUCCCACUGCAAUGGAGAGAGUUGACGAAAAAAUCUGCUUUGACAUGAGAAAGGCAUCUUAUUGUAUGACAGGUCAGGAGGACAGGCAGCUGGGACGAAAUGUGAUUUUAAAAUAGCAGCACUGAUUUAAUGUACUCACUGGCUGUGGGUAGACCAACCACACAACAACAUUAAAAAAAAAAAUACUUCUUCUUCAUUCUGCAUCACUGUAUUUGUUUCUCCACAUGUUCUUGUCAAGCUAGAUAUUGAUCUCUAAUAUUGGAAAAUUGGAGCCUUCAAAUAAGCCAAAUGGGUUUUUAUGUCCUCUUACUGCACUCUGAUGUUGUUUAUCUGUGGUAUGUUUUUUUAAAUUUUAGGAACCCUGCUAAUUAAUAUAAAAUAGUGCUGUCAAACAAUUUUUAUAUCCCGAUUAAUCACAUUUAUGUCAUAGUUAACUCAAAAUUAAUCACAAUUAAUCGUUAUCAAUAAAAGGUAAGCCUUCUUUGCUUUCAACCAGUUUCUCAAACAGACAAGCCUGUUGACAUUUUCAGACAACAGUGAAGCUCACUUAUUUUGCACAACAUGCCCAGACACAUAAAACAACCUUUCAGAAGGUACUGAUGUUGCCGGUGCUGCUAAGUACUUUUAAACGUUAUUUACGUCAUUUUUCUGUGUGCCCCUCCAUGUGUGGACCAUCAUUCCUGGGGACAAUCAUCCAUCCCAAAUUAACGUUGUUAACUGACAGCACUAAUAUAAAAUAAACACAUCAAAAAGGAGAAAUCUUGUCAUUGUUGCAGCACAAACACAAAAAUAGAUGUUGAUAAAUAAAGAGUAAAAUAAAAGAAACAACAGAAGGUAUAUACAACUCAAAUAGAUGUCAGAGGAACGGCACCAACAGAGUUCCUCAAGGUGCACCGGUGUUUUGGUGUUGGGGAUCAGGAACUCUGAGACUGUGUUUUUUGUUAAUCCGCAGCCUGACGCUCCUUAAAUGUAAAUAAGAGCCACUGAAGGACUAAUCCAAUAUAACAAAAUACGUAGUUACAUAGUUACAUCUGUAACAUUAUAUUUUAUUAUAUGAUCACACGUUUUGUUUGUGUAAAGCUCCAACAAUUAGUUGAUGCAUUGAUAAAUGAAUUUCUUUCCAGUUUCCUUACUUGUCUUUAUUAGUAAAAUUUGGGGUUUUAGGUUGGGAAUUCUUCAAAGUAUGACAUUUGAAGACGUCACAUUAGAGCUUGCCAUAUGCUCUCAUUUGUUGGCAAAAGAUUAUUCUAUCAAUCUGGAAAUUAAUCAGAAGAUUAUUGAAUAAUAAAAUAAUGGAAGUUUAGCUUCGACAAUAGAUGUUGGGGUCUGUCUUCUGUUGUAAAGCCCUGACUUCACUUUGUCUCCCUGGAUGAUAACUGCCGCAGAGGCCUCCUGUUGGGCCGAUAAUUCAUCAACCGCUAUUUCUCAAAAGAGGAGAAAUCAGAGAAUAUUAUCAAGACAUUGACAAUAGGGACCAGUAAAAAGUGGAACUGGAUAUCUUAAGUGAUCAACUUAAAGAGGAAUGCCAAAUACAAUACCAUGAGGUCCGAGGUAAGACAGCAACGCACGAAAGAUGAUUUGUGGUUGAGAGUCAUAAAUACAAUCUACAUUACAUAACAUUAUAUGUCAUUUAGCCAACGUUUUUAUCCAAAGCGACUUUCAAUAAGUGUGUUAAAGUGUGUAAAUUAUGGUUGAAGUGCACAGGGUUCAAACCCAGAAGAACAGGAAACAAGAAAGUGCAAUUUCAUCAAUUUACAACUUGCCAUAGAUAAGCAAUUAUAUUAUCCAAGUACAAGUCAAGUGCUACAAUCUAAGAUAAAGAAUACAUACAGACAUGUUAUCUCUUGUUUUCACUUAAUAAAUAACUUAUUUGUCCUGAGACUGUUACCAGGUAAAUAAAUACUCUUAUUUGCGUUCUAGGAGUAAAGUAUGAUAUCUAAAAUCAGUGUCUCAAAUACGGAGCUGGUUAGUUAGCUUGGUUAAAACUGAAGAGUAGAAAUUACUUCUUGUGAUUUGGCUAGCGCUUAUGUGCUAUAGACUGUUUAGUGACUGGGAGCAGUGACCUCCGUUGCCAUUUCACGUUUAGAUGUGUGUUUUUUUUUUAUGAUCGUUGGAGUGUUGAUAAAGAACUAUGACGUAUAACAACUUUACAACAUGAGUUAUUAGGGAAACUGUCCUGACAUGACAUUUGUUGCCCCAGAACCUCCGUGUGUCUCUGUGUGAGUGCUAAAGUAAUAUUAACUAAAGAUUAGCUAUGAUAUUAACAAAUAUCCUACACGAUGAGGCUAUGUGUGAAUUUUCCUAAUCAAAUUUACAUUUGU